RNAcentral lists this ribosomal RNA (478 nucleotides) under uncultured bacterium. RNAcentral's name for it is "partial 16S ribosomal RNA". It matches the Rfam family "Bacterial small subunit ribosomal RNA", at positions 28 to 507 of the family's 1533-position model. The record is from RNAcentral.
GACGAACGCUGGUGGCGUGCUUAACACAUGCCAGUCGAACGGGAUUUAGUAAACAGAAGCCUCGGUGGAAGAUUACUAAUGAGAGUGGCGAACGGGUGAGUAACGCGUGAGCAACCUGCCUAUGACAGUGGGAUAGCCUCGGGAAACCGGGAUUAAUACCGCAUAAAAUCGUAGAAACACAUGUUUUAACGGUCAAAGAUUUAUCGGUCAUAGAUGGGCUCGCGUCUGAUUAGCUAGUUGGUGAGAUAACAGCCCACCAAGGCGACGAUCAGUAGCCGGUCUGAGAGGAUGAACGGCCGCAUUGGAACUGAGACACGGUCCAAACUCCUACGGGAGGCAGCAGUGGGGAAUAUUGCACAAUGGGGGAAACCCUGAUGCAGCGACGCCGCGUGAACGAAGAAGGUAUUCGUAUCGUAAAGUUCUGUCCUAUGGGAAGAUAAUGACAGUACCAUAGAAGAAAGCUCCGGCUAAAUACGUG